RNAcentral lists this ribosomal RNA (375 nucleotides) under uncultured organism. RNAcentral describes it as "partial 16S ribosomal RNA". It matches the Rfam family "Bacterial small subunit ribosomal RNA", at positions 527 to 897 of the family's 1533-position model. The record is from RNAcentral.
GAGGGGUGCGAGCGUUAUUCGGAUUUACUGGGCGUAAAGGGUGCGUAGACGGUGUAUCAAGUCUGUUGUUAAAUCUCUCGGGCUUAACCGAGGGGCCGCAGCGGAAACUGGUACGCUAGAGGAUGGAAGAGAGAAGUGGAAUUCCCGGAGUAGCGGUAAAAUGCGUAGAUCUCGGGAGGAACACCAAUGGCGAAGGCAGCUUCUUGGUCCAUUCCUGACGUUGAGGCACGAAAGCGUGGGGAGCAAACAGGAUUAGAUACCCUGGUAGUCCACGCCGUAAACGAUAAUCACUAGACGUUGGUUCGGCUUAGCUGGAUCAGUGUCAAAGCUAACGCGUUAAGUGAUUCGCCUGGGGACUACGAUCGCAAAGAUUAA